GUUACAGAUCACAAAAUAGUCUGACCUUGUCACCAGAGAAAGGAUGCAAUGAUUUCAAAAAGAAAAUAUGCAGUUGGUGCUGUACAUUUCUGUUGCAGCGACUGGGAUUUACGAAGUAAGAAAGGAACAGAGCAGAGAGAGGGAAGGCAUGACCUUACACCACCUUUUGAAGAGCACGACUGUUGACAGAAUGAACAGUGAGAGCACGGGAGAGUUGACUUCUCCAUGAAAGGCAGCCAUCAGAUGCUGGGAAGAGCGUACAUGUGCAGAGUUCCUCUGGGGGAAUCACUGGAGACUGCCCAUGCAUUAAUCAUAACCAUCAAUGCCUCAUCAACAAUGUAUGUGUCUUUCUACUCGGCCUAUUCAAGAGAAGCAGCAGGGAGGUGGUGGUUCUUCUCCCGGCCCAACUACUGACCUGCUGUGCUGCCUGCAGCAGAUUACUUCAUCAGAAAAGGGGAUGGGGAAAAGAGUCUUGCUUUCCUUCCAGUUGAAGCAUUUAGUACAUUAAUCUAAGUGGUUGUUACUAUUCCUUUGCAACACCACUGUAAAAGCUGUCAUUGAAAUAAAGGUUUGCCAGGUAGAACUUUUUGUAUGAAUUCUAUUUUAAGCACUUCAUUUGACCACUUAAAAUUUAGUCUUUACAUAAAUAGUAGUUCCUGUUAAUAAGUACUUUGAAAGAGUACUUGAAUAACACACAUACUACUUUAUAAAUAACAGCUUUAUAACCAUUUUUUUCUUUAUCUUCAUUUGCCGUUCUUCCAAAGUGAAGUAAGAUUGCUAGGCUUUAGUGUGCUAUUUUACAGUAAGCAAGUGCCUUUUGGACGUAUCUCCUGAAUGCUGCCAUCUACUUCCCAGCAGUGGAACACCUCUGGGGACAGCUGCAUAAUAAAACCUCAGUGGCUGAAUUUGUUUUAUAAUUUCAAGCAUUCAUGACUGAAGGAAGAUUCUUCUGCCACAUGUGCUGUAUGACUCUAAGUAUGAGAUUGUUAACAUGAAAACCAAAAGCUGUCACAGGCUUAGGGCCAGAACAACGUUGUAACAGCAACAAUAGAGGGAGCCCAAUUCAUUUCAGGUUACACUGCAUCAACACUUUUGUCAUCAAUUUUAUUCAAUCACAUAGUGCAGCUGGAAGACAGACUAAAAAUCAUUUGUCUUCUGAGGCGUUUUCUCUGUAUUUCACAGCAUUUACUAGGAAUAUUAGCAUUUUUUAAUUGUCUGAAGUGUCUUCUCCUAGGGAAACUAGUUUCUUUCUGUCAGAAAGACAGUAUUUUCUUAAAUACCUCAAAUAUGCAAGGUCUAUGAG
Non-coding RNA from Phalacrocorax carbo (great cormorant), 1303 nucleotides. The record is from RefSeq and is a predicted model, not a curated record. Lineage: Eukaryota; Metazoa; Chordata; Aves; Suliformes; Phalacrocoracidae.